UACGUAGGGUGCGAGCGUUAAUCGGAAUUACUGGGCGUAAAGCGUGCGCAGGCGGCGGCUCAAGUCAGGUGUGAAAUCCCCGGGCUUAACCUGGGAAUUGCGCUUGAAACUAGGCUGCUUGAGUGUGGCAGAGGGGGGUGGAAUUCCACGUGUAGCAGUGAAAUGCGUAGAGAUGUGGAGGAACACCGAUGGCGAAGGCAGCCCCCUGGGUCAACACUGACGCUCAGGCACGAAAGCGUGGGGAGCAAAC
This 250-nucleotide ribosomal RNA is filed under the name uncultured bacterium. RNAcentral describes it as "partial 16S ribosomal RNA". It matches the Rfam family "Bacterial small subunit ribosomal RNA", at positions 524 to 773 of the family's 1533-position model. The record is from RNAcentral.